Molecule: long non-coding RNA, 456 nt
Filed under: Cricetulus griseus (Chinese hamster)
Lineage: Eukaryota; Metazoa; Chordata; Mammalia; Rodentia; Cricetidae
Description: lncRNA (ENSCGRG00000026152.1)
Source: RNAcentral
GAGGAAAGUGAGGUCAAGAAUGAUUUGAUGACCUGCUCAAAGUCACACAGUAAGUGGCAUGGCUUGGGUUUAAACCCAGGCAGCCUGAUUUCAGAGCUAACAUGGUCAACUUCAUAGAUCAUACAAUGUAUAAGGGGAGUUGCUGCUUCCUGGAUUCUGAGAGCCUUGUCUUUUGGUUUGAGCCUCAGUGUAGCAUGAUCCUAGCCUGUAGACUAUGGCAAAUGAAUGAGAACUGUUUGUCUAAAACAAAAACAGCACAUCCACACUUCACACUUGGAAAUCAAAAGAAAGAAGAGGCCAUUCCUGCUGAUUCCAUUUUCAGUUGGCUGCAGUUGUCCACAUGCCUUAUUGUCAUGGCCGGGACCUUCCACACAUUCUACUCCACUCUUGAGAAGAAUUGGCUCCUAGAACCACUUGCCUGGGUGAAAGCCUGCCAGGGCUUAUUUGUAUUGUUGG